RNAcentral lists this ribosomal RNA (481 nucleotides) under uncultured bacterium. Its description in RNAcentral is "partial 16S ribosomal RNA". It matches the Rfam family "Bacterial small subunit ribosomal RNA", at positions 28 to 506 of the family's 1533-position model. The record is from RNAcentral.
GACGAACGCUGGCGGCGUGCUUAACACAUGCAAGUCGAACGCUGAAGCUCAGCUUUUGUUGGGUGGAUGAGUGGCGAACGGGUGAGUAACACGUGAGUAACCUGCCCCCUUCUUUGGGAUAACGCCCGGAAACGGGUGCUAAUACUGGAUAUUCACUGGUCUUCGCAUGGGGGUUGGUGGAAAGGGUUUUUCUGGUGGGGGAUGGGCUCGCGGCCUAUCAGCUUGUUGGUGGGUGAUGGCCUACCAAGGCUUUGACGGGUAGCCGGCCUGAGAGGGUGACCGGUCACAUUGGGACUGAGAUACGGCCCAGACUCCUACGGGAGGCAGCAGUGGGGAAUAUUGCACAAUGGGCGCAAGCCUGAUGCAGCGACGCCGCGUGAGGGAUGGAGGCCUUCGGGUUGUGAACCUCUUUCGCUCAUGGUCAAGCCGCAACAAUGGUUGUGGUGAGGGUAGUGGGUAAAGAAGCGCCGGCUAACUACGU